GUGGUCGUAGCUUAAUGGCAAAGCUCCUGACUGUGGCUCAGGUGAUGGGAGUUCGAUUCUCCUCGACCACC
RNAcentral lists this transfer RNA (71 nucleotides) under Minisyncoccota bacterium. RNAcentral's name for it is "tRNA-His". It matches the Rfam family "tRNA". Rfam says of the family: Transfer RNA (tRNA) molecules are approximately 80 nucleotides in length. Their secondary structure includes four short double-helical elements and three loops (D, anti-codon, and T loops). Further hydrogen bonds mediate the characteristic L-shaped molecular structure. tRNAs have two regions of fundamental functional importance: the anti-codon, which is responsible for specific mRNA codon recognition, and the 3' end, to which the tRNAs corresponding amino acid is attached (by aminoacyl-tRNA synthetases). tRNAs cope with the degeneracy of the genetic code in two manners: having more than one tRNA (with a specific anti-codon) for a particular amino acid; and 'wobble' base-pairing, i.e. permitting non-standard base-pairing at the 3rd anti-codon position. The record is from RNAcentral. Lineage: Bacteria; Bacillati; Minisyncoccota.